Molecule: ribosomal RNA, 465 nt
Filed under: uncultured bacterium
Lineage: Bacteria
Description: partial 16S ribosomal RNA
Rfam family: Bacterial small subunit ribosomal RNA
Source: RNAcentral
GACGAACGCUGGCGGCGUGCUUAACACAUGCAAGUCGAACGGAAAGGCCCCUUUGGGGGUACUCGAGUGGCGAACGGGUGAGUAACACGUGAGUAACCUGCCCUUGACUUCGGGAUAACUUCAGGAAACUAGGGCUAAUACCGGAUAGGAAUCCUUGCUGCAUGGUGGGGGUUGGAAAGCUUCGGCGGUUUUGGAUGGACUCGCGGCUUAUCAGCUUGUUGGUGGGGUAGUGGCUUACCAAGGCUUUGACGGGUAGCCGGCCUGAGAGGGCGACCGGCCACAUUGGGACUGAGAUACGGCCCAGACUCCUACGGGAGGCAGCAGUGGGGAAUAUUGCACAAUGGGCGGAAGCCUGAUGCAGCAACGCCGCGUGCGGGAUGACGGCCUUCGGGUUGUAAACCGCUUUCAGCAGGGGCGAAGCUUGUGGUGACGGUACCUGCAGAAGAAGCACCGGCUAACUACGUG